AAUGAGCAAGUUUCAAGAAGAAAGAUUUACAGCUAAAAAGUUGCACAUAUCAAAAUGAUAAAACAUUUUCACUCUCAAACUACCUCCUCAUGAAAACCAACUGCUAGAUCUUGAGUUGAGGAUUAUUAAAAGCCCAAGCACAUAAAAAAUGCACGUAUCUGCAAUUGCAUGCAGGUCCACGAUCAAAGCUGCCCCUGUUCCAAAUGAACAGGUUAAAGUCAGUCAUGAUUCAGGGUUUUGCAGAGAUUACCAAAGAAAGUAAACUCUCAACCCUCUCGGUGAAUGAGAAACUUUGCUGCAAUAUAUUCUUUUAUUAAAAUUAAAUAUAGCACAAAGCUUGCUAUCCUGAACUACAGGAAUUACCUGCUUUUGUAUGACCCUGAAAUAAAAUAGUUAAAUGAAACACAGGGGAAUGUAGAGAUUUUAAUAUGUGCUGUAGAAAAAGAACAUAUAUAAGCACCAAUGGGAUCAUUAUACUCAACACUCCAUAUAAAAGUUACAUAGUCCAUUGAACCCAACGGUCAUAAUCCAACAUGAGCAGGAAAAAGUUGUUUAAAAUGAAUCAUUUAAAAGACAAAGGAAUUUGCACUAAUAACUGAGAAUCUAGAUAAUCAAAGCUGCCCUUAGCCACCAUCACCCUUGCCGUCACCGCCUUGGAAAAAGCUUAAACUACCAUCCAGGCAAAAAACCCUCAAGUUGUUACAAACAGUAGAACAAAGCUCAUAUAUCAUUGGGUCCUGUCUCCUCAUAUCAGUAAGAAGCCUAGAGUCCACAUACAAGAAGCAAAGGCAAGACCUUUUCUCUUGUAUAGCAGUAACAGGAUGGCACCAAGCGCCACCAUUUCAAUUCAGUAGCUUCAAAGUGAAGCUCAGCUAUAGAAGGAAACUGGGCCAUCUAGAAUUGCAAAUAAGAAUGGGAUUUAAGAUUAUGGCAGUAGCAUUUUGAGAAACGCUUUGCACAAAAGGAUAUAAUUGGCUUCAAUUGUGGUGUUAAAACAAUCUAGACUAACACCCAAGUAAAUCCUAAAAUCUCUCAAAUGCUCAUGUUGUUGUGUGCAUAAUAAAUAAUAAAAUUUAUUAUUUAUUUAUGUAUAAAGAGAAGAAAAAGUAACUGAUUUAAGCAUUCAGGCUAAAUCCAGAUCUAAACUGUCAGAGAUUUAAUCAAAUAUUUCAUGCUAGCACUUAAUGCAGCGGAAAAAUGGAUAAGGAUAUUCAAUAAUCAGAACGGAAAGAGAAGUAAAAAUUGUAUCAAAACCCUAAACCUGGAACCAAAAAUCUAAAGAAGAGAGAAUCACCACCAACCAAAUGAGAAAAAGAUGGACGACUAGGAUCUUAUUUGGGGGAUUUAUCCUCCUUGGAGGACGAACCAUAUCGAGGAGGAGAAUAUAUCAGAGCCGCCAACAUAGUCCCUGGCAAAACCACGUACUUGGCCACC
This 1434-nucleotide unclassified non-coding RNA is filed under the name Hevea brasiliensis (rubber tree). Lineage: Eukaryota; Viridiplantae; Streptophyta; Magnoliopsida; Malpighiales; Euphorbiaceae. The record is from RNAcentral.